GUGGGGAAUAUUGCACAAUGGGGGAAACCCUGAUGCAGCGACGCCGCGUGAGUGAAGAAGGGUUUCGGCUCGUAAAGCUCUGUUGUCGGGGACGAAUGUGCAGUAUUUGAAUAAAGUACUGUAAUGACGGUACCUGACGAGGAAGCCACGGCUAACUACGUGCCAGCAGCCGCGGUAAUACGUAGGUGGCAAGCGUUGUCCGGAAUUAUUGGGCGUAAAGGGAGCGCAGGCGGGAAGGUAAGUCGGUCUUAAAAGUGCGGGGCUCAACCCCGUGAUGGGAUCGAAACUAUCUUUCUUGAGUGCAGGAGAGGAAAGUGGAAUUCCUAGUGUAGCGGUGAAAUGCGUAGAUAUUAGGAGGAACACCAGUGGCGAAGGCGACUUUCUGGACUGUAACUGACGCUGAGGCUCGAAAGCCAGGGGAGCGAACGGGAUUAGAUACCCUUGUAGUCC
RNAcentral lists this ribosomal RNA (450 nucleotides) under uncultured bacterium. Its description in RNAcentral is "partial 16S ribosomal RNA". It matches the Rfam family "Bacterial small subunit ribosomal RNA", at positions 354 to 796 of the family's 1533-position model. The record is from RNAcentral.